GACAGAGGGUGCGAACGUUGCUCGGAAUUACUGGGCGUAAAGCGCGUGUAGGCGGGUGCGCAAGUCCGUUGUGAAAUCCCUGGGCUCAACCCAGGAACUGCAUCGGAAACUGCGUGUCUUGAGUAAUGGAGAGGGAAGUGGAAUUCCCGGUGUAGAGGUGAAAUUCGUAGAUAUCGGGAGGAACACCAGUGGCGAAGGCGGCUUCCUGGACAUUUACUGACGCUGAGACGCGAAAGCGUGGGGAGCAAACAGG
Molecule: ribosomal RNA, 253 nt
Filed under: uncultured bacterium
Lineage: Bacteria
Description: partial 16S ribosomal RNA
Rfam family: Bacterial small subunit ribosomal RNA
Source: RNAcentral